Ostrea edulis (European flat oyster) is the source of this 1940-nucleotide long non-coding RNA. RefSeq lists it as uncharacterized. NCBI's taxonomy places the organism in Eukaryota, Metazoa, Mollusca, Bivalvia, Ostreida, Ostreidae. The record is from RefSeq and is a predicted model, not a curated record. The transcript has 3 exons.
CUAUUUGGUACCGCUUGCAGGGCGGCGACCACGAGUUACCUGCCCCUAUACAAUGAGUUAAUUGCCCCUGUAUUUCAUCUGUUAAGUUGUACUUAAAAUAGGCUAACUCUUGCGCAAAAAAAGAUAGAAAAUAUCAAAUAUGGGAAAGCGGGACGAUAGACCAAACAUAUCUACGAAGAGACCGUUGGUGCCGGAAAUAUCUCUGUCUUUAGUAGUGUCCGCGAGGUAUAUUAAUUUAUAAAACAUGAGAUAUUAGUACCAUAUUGCCCGGGAAUCAAAAGAUUUUUGCAAGAUCGCAGAAUUCAGCUAGACACAAAAAAAAAAGACAAUCACUACAGCCUUCCAAGAAGAUGGACUGCCUCACAAUAGUUUCCUUGAGGACUGUCUUGAAAUAUCCAGAGUUUAAGAAGUAGACAAUUUGAAAGUGAAAAGGAAGUGCCAGGAAACGUCAGAAUGCAGGACAGAAUGCAGGAGUUGCACCAUUUACCCUACAGCUUCUGGGGGCCUAGGCCGCCCCCAACCUACUGGGAGUAACCUCUCUCUCUCUCUCUCUCUCUCUCUCUCUCUCUCUCUCUCUCUCUCUCAUUUCUUUGGGAUAUCAGAAAAAGAUAGCGGAUAGACGUUGUGAAAAGUAUCUAAACGAUCAAGUGCUGGACCCCCCCCCCCCCCCCCCCCCCUUCCACUUCAAAAAUUCCUACACCCGCUUCUGUACAAGAUAUACUUCACAAGAGAUAGAAUCCGGCAGUAACUCGAAAAUCCAGGUUUUCUGCAACUCGUCGUAGUUACUUCAGUGUGUAAUUUUUACGACAAGUUUAAUUUUUAGUGAAUUACAUUCUCAAACAAAUGUGAUAAAAGUUGAUGAUCAGACAUCGUCAUAUUCCACUUUUCCCCUCUCUAAAUAUAACUAUGAUCAUUUGACCCAGCUGACGUUUUUGUGAGCAAAAUAUUUACGAAGGUAAUGUGACCAGGGUUAAAUACUAGAUGAUACAAAGAGAAGAAAUAAUGGAGUUUGAAUGAUAUCAAUGAUGUUUAUUUGUGUUUGAAUGCAUGAUGGUGAUCAUUGUACAUUGAUAAAGUGGCUUUUUAUAGGAUCCGAAACAGUGACAUGUGAGAAAGUUGGUUGGCGGGGAUUUCUACUUUCACUUUUGAGGAUGCAGUAAACGGACGACAGGAGGGGAAGCUGCGCAUUUCCUCGUUGGAUGAUUUGUGUACAUGUGUGGACGUGGAUGUCAUUUCAGUGAGUUCACUUGGAUUUGAGAGGCUGAGCAAAGGCACAAAGAAAUUGUUUCCUGAGUAUAGAGUCUGAAACGAGGAUAUUGCAUCAUUCCUGAUCAGGCAAGUCUGGCUUGUUCAUUUAUUUCAUUUAUCAUUUCUUUUUUCUUUUUUUUUUUGAAUUAUUUUUUUAUUCAUUUAUUGGUUUACAAUAUUACAGAAGGUGAAAUGUACAUGUUUAACUAUUUCUGUGUAUCAUGUAUGUGUAUUUGUUUUAAUUUUUAAUUUUCUUUGGGGGGGGGGGGGGGGGGGGAGGGCUGUUAUCAGUUUGUGUAGAGUGUCAGUUUUGUGUAUUACUUAAAGAUCAGUACCAGUGUCCUACUGUUGAACAUUGGGCAGAUAUGUAAAUUGGCACUUGGUUGGUUUAUGCAGUCCUCCUUGACAUUGACAGGGCUUUCCCAUGGAGACUGUUUUCCAAGUUAUGCUAGAGUGUCAGUCAUCUAUCUGUGUCUCGCAAGUACUUGGUGCAGACAGCUAUCAUGCUGAAUCCCGUUAAGGAAGGGGAUAUAGACUUCCUUUGGAAUGACGUACAUACUCAAUGUUAGAGGGAGGUUGCCUUAUAAAUUGGUACCUGUUAGAGGGAGAGUGCUUUAUUAGUUGGUACCUGUUAGAGGGAGAGUGCUUUAUAAGUUGGUACCUGUUAGAAGGAGAGUGCUUUAUAAUCUGGU